UACGAAGGGGGCUAGCGUUGUUCGGAUUUACUGGGCGUAAAGCGCACGUAGGCGGAUCUUUAAGUCAGAGGUGAAAUCCCAAGGCUCAACCUUGGAACUGCCUUUGAUACUGGGGAUCUUGAGUCCGGGAGAGGUGAGUGGAACUGCGAGUGUAGAGGUGAAAUUCGUAGAUAUUCGCAAGAACACCAGUGGCGAAGGCGGCUCACUGGCCCGGUACUGACGCUGAGGAGCGAAAGCCAGGGGAGCAAACGGG
This 253-nucleotide ribosomal RNA is filed under the name uncultured bacterium. RNAcentral describes it as "partial 16S ribosomal RNA". It matches the Rfam family "Bacterial small subunit ribosomal RNA", at positions 524 to 776 of the family's 1533-position model. The record is from RNAcentral.